GAUGAAGAACGUAGCGAUAUGCGAUAAGUAGUGUGAAUUGCAGAAUUCAGUGAAUCAUCGAAUCUUUGAACGCACAUUGCGCCCUUUGGUAUUCCAAAGGGCAUGCCUGUUCGAGCGUCAUUUGUACCCUCAAGCUUUGCUUGGUGUUGGGCGUCUUGUCUCUAGCUUUGCUGGAGACUCGCCUUAAAGUAAUUGGCAGCCGGCCUACUGGUUUCGGAGCGCAGCACAAGUCGCACUCUCUAUCAGCAAAGGUCUAGCAUCCAUUAAGCCUUUUUUUCAACUUUUGACCUCGGAUCAGGUAGGGAUACCCGCUGAACUUAAGCAUAUCAAUAAGCGGAGGA
This 341-nucleotide unclassified non-coding RNA is filed under the name soil metagenome. Its description in RNAcentral is "partial contains 5.8S ribosomal RNA, internal transcribed spacer 2, and large subunit ribosomal RNA". The stretch from base 1 to 120 matches the Rfam family "5.8S ribosomal RNA", at positions 35 to 154 of the family's 154-position model. The record is from RNAcentral.